This 497-nucleotide ribosomal RNA is filed under the name uncultured bacterium. RNAcentral describes it as "partial 16S ribosomal RNA". It matches the Rfam family "Bacterial small subunit ribosomal RNA", at positions 28 to 507 of the family's 1533-position model. The record is from RNAcentral.
GACGAACGCUGGCGGCGUGCCUAAUACAUGCAAGUUGAGCGCUGAAGGUUGGUACUUGUACCGACUGGAUGAGCAGCGAACGGGUGAGUAACGCGUGGGGAAUCUGCCUUUGAGCGGGGGACAACAUUUGGAAACGAAUGCUAAUACCGCAUAAAAACUUUAAACACAAGUUUUAAGUUUGAAAGAUGCAAUUGCAUCACUCAAAGAUGAUCCCGCGUUGUAUUAGCUAGUUGGUGAGGUAAAGGCUCACCAAGGCGAUGAUACAUAGCCGACCUGAGAGGGUGAUCGGCCACAUUGGGAAUGAGACACGGCCCAAACUCCUACGGGAGGCAGCAGUAGGGAAUCUUCGGCAAUGGACGAAAGUCUGAACGAGCAAAGCCGCGUGAGUGAAGAAGGUUUUCGGAUAGUAAAACUCUGUUGGUAGAGAAGAACGUUGGGGAGAGUGGAAAGCUCAUCAAGUGACGGUAACUACCCAGAAAGGGACGGCUAACUACGUG